CUGUUCGAGCGUCAUUUAUACCAAUCUAGCCUGGCUAGGUGUUGGGCUUCGCCAUCUGGCGGGCCUUAAAAUCAGUGGCGGUGCUCUUCAGCUCUACGCGUAGUAACUUUCUCGCUAUAGGGUCUGGAGGGAUGCUUGCCAGCGACCCCAAAUUUUUCUAGGUUGACCUCGGAUCAGGUAGGGAUACCCGCUGAACUUAA
RNAcentral lists this unclassified non-coding RNA (200 nucleotides) under soil metagenome. Its description in RNAcentral is "partial contains internal transcribed spacer 2 and large subunit ribosomal RNA". The record is from RNAcentral.